RNAcentral lists this non-coding RNA (27 nucleotides) under Mus musculus (house mouse). Lineage: Eukaryota; Metazoa; Chordata; Mammalia; Rodentia; Muridae. The record is from RNAcentral.
UGAACCGAGUUCCUUAUGCUUUCAGGG